Molecule: non-coding RNA, 648 nt
Organism: Ailuropoda melanoleuca (giant panda)
Lineage: Eukaryota; Metazoa; Chordata; Mammalia; Carnivora; Ursidae
Source: the annotation of a RefSeq genome assembly
CCUCCCUCUCUCAGGGGAUGAAGAGGGAAAGGGGGAGAUGAGGGGAGGCUCUGCUCAGCUGUGGGGCACAGAAGUCAGGACCAGAGAUGACCUGCACCAUGGCCAGGUCCCCUCUCCUUCUCACUCACCAGGCUCACUGCUCAGGGUCCUGGGCCCAGUCUGUGCUGACUCAGCCAUCCUCCCUGUCUGGGACCCUGGGCCAGAAGCUCAUCAUCUCCUGCACUGGAAGCAGCUCCAACAUCGGGGGUGGAUAUUAUGUGAGCUGGCACCAACAGCUCCCAGGAAUUGGGCACAGAACCAUCAUCUAUGAUAAUAGCAAACAACCUUUGGGGAUCCCGGAUCGAUUCCCUGGCUCAAAGUCUGGUAGCUCAGGCACCCUGACCAUCACUGGGCUCCAGGCUGAGGAUGAGGCCGAUUAUUACUGUGCAUUAUUGGACAGUAGUCUCAGUGCUCACACAGUGCUCCAGUCAUGAGGGGAAGUGAGACAAAAACCCACUCACUCAUCUGUAGAGGGGGGCACAUGCCAGCAGUUCCUGCUCAGCUUAGCCUGUGAUGCUCCUUAUUCCUUUGCUGAUGCCCUGGGUCCAUGUCCUUCAGGGGCACCACCAGGGAGUGAGGCUCUCCUGUCUCUCCUGUCCUCAGAGUCAC